This 253-nucleotide ribosomal RNA is filed under the name uncultured bacterium. RNAcentral's name for it is "partial 16S ribosomal RNA". It matches the Rfam family "Bacterial small subunit ribosomal RNA", at positions 524 to 776 of the family's 1533-position model. The record is from RNAcentral.
UACGUAGGGUGCAGGCGUUAAUCGGAAUUACUGGGCGUAAAGCGUGCGCAGGCGGCUCCUUAAGUCAGAUGUGAAAGCCCCGGGCUUAACCUGGGAACUGCGUUUGAAACUGGGGGGCUAGAGUGUGGAAGAGGGGGGUGGAAUUCCAGGUGUAGCAGUGAAAUGCGUAGAGAUCUGGAGGAACACCGAUGGCGAAGGCAGCCCCAUGGGCUAACACUGACGCUCAUGCACGAAAGCGUGGGGAGCAAACAGG